Molecule: ribosomal RNA, 200 nt
Filed under: uncultured bacterium
Lineage: Bacteria
Description: partial 16S ribosomal RNA
Rfam family: Bacterial small subunit ribosomal RNA
Source: RNAcentral
CGAUGGAGGGGGAUAACUACUGGAAACGGUAGCUAAUACCGCAUAACGUCGCAAGACCAAAGAGGGGGACCUUAGGGCCUCUUGCCAUCGGAUGUGCCCAGAUGGGAUAGCUAGUAGGUGGGGUAACGGCUCACCUAGGCGACGAUCCCUAGCUGGUCUGAGAGGAUGACCAGCCACACUGGAACUGAGACACGGUCCAG